UAUUUCUGGUCAAAAUAUUAAAAAAAAAAGCUGGUCGAAGAGAAAAAGAAAGCUACCGUGAGGCGGCAACUCAAGCUCAUUAAUUUAACUUACCCAAAAAGGAAACCAAGUGGGGAUGGGAAAUUCAGGCCAAACAAUACCGAGAUAGAGGGACCGGAAAACAGGAUGUGCGGCCAGGUACGAGGAGGCAACCAGAAAAAAAAACCACCAAGAAAAAGUAGCACGGAAGCGGAUUUUCAUUCAAGUUGCCAGCCAGGAGGAGGAAAGGAGGACGCUUUCUCCAUCUCGGCCCACAAUUUCUCCUUGGUAAUGAUUCAGCAUUAAAUUUCGGGUGACUGAAGAAAGGCAAGAAACAACAAAAUCAGCAGCGACAGCAACAGCAACAAAGAAAAUCAGUAAAAUGAAACGAUGUCGACGUCAAAGCAAAUGAAACUGAAGAUGAGACCAGAGCAAAAUUUCGGACGAACAUCAUUAGAAAGUUACUGGAAUUCGGUUGUAGCCGGAUGGUUGGGGUUUGGUGCUGGUGUUUGGCUAUAUCCAUCCGACCUUGCUAAUUGUAUGACAACGGGGGGUGGGAUUCGCCCACCUGGCCAUUGAAAUCAUUGCUCCGUUCAAGUAGCUGAGCGCACAAAACUAAGCUGCCAAUUCAAUUUCGUAAUCAGAGUGGCAUGAAAAAUUAAAUAAAACAUGCAAAUAAAAUUAUUACGCAUAAUUUGUGUGCACAGGGUGAGAUGAAGGGCUCCCGUUAGGCAAUACCAUUUUCCCGCGAGUUUUUCCGGUGCGGAGUGCCUGAUUUUAUUUCUGCUGGGAUUUUGGGUGACUGAUUCCCUUUGCAACUCAAUUUAUUUUUCUGCUUGACAAUUUAUCUUCAAAUUUAGCUCAAGAACUUUAUAUUCAUACAUUAUUAGUCUAUCCCAUUUUUAAAUACUAUUGAAAUUUAGUUAAUCAUGGUAAUUACCUUUACCUUUAGGUGUUUAUUUUAACACUUUUUAGUUAAAAAAAAAUAUAAGAUUUUCUAAGUAAAAGUUAAAAGUAUUUAAUUGCUUAUAACGAUUACUUUAAAAUAAUGACUUAUAUCUUGUUUUGCAUGAUUAAAAUAUGCCUUAAAGUAUUUCAAUUAAAUAUUGUUUUCAAAUUAUACUAGUUUUGCUUUUUAAAAGCUUACCUUCAUUACUCGAAGCACAUUUGUAGCUGUCCGAAAAAGGCAAGAGUUAAUAAAGUCCUUAAUUAAGUUGCUGUUAUGUAAGUAGUACACCGCUGUAUUUUUAUAUGCUAGAGCGAGUGCGAUGCUUGUGUGGUGAGGCCUCGGUUGUUGAGGUCAAAACUAUUAGCAAUGUGCCGGGAAAUUAAGCAAAAGUUUGGGGAGUAAUGAGUUCGUAACAGCGCAGAUUUAACUGGAUGUAUGAGUGGGGGGGGCGCUUAUCUAAUAUGUGCAUCUGAAAAUGAGAUUGGAAGCAGGGCAUAAACCUUGGGUAUCACAAAACACUCUGCCCUUGUUAACCUUUUUUUUUUUGGUCUAUAUUCCCUGUAUUCCAUUCAUUCGCCUCGUUAAUCGAGCGUUUUAUCUCUCCCAGAGAUUUGUAAAUUUGUGAAGCAUUUUUUAAUGUGCUUAAUUUUAUUUGGGAUCCAGCCACUCCAGCUUCGGUGUUCCACUGUUUCGGUUUGAACAUGUGUUGCUGGCUAAACUUUUUCAUUGUUACCCCGUACAUCACACAAGCGGCUUUAUUGGUCAGCAGGGGUUAAAGUAGCCGAGUUAGUUUUGUCAGCCUUGGCAUUAAACCCAUGCUGUCCAUCGUUCGCCUCAUUUCCAUCUGCCAGAGUUGCCGCGCCGCGGGUUAUUUGUUGGGUUCAAAGUUCGGGUCUAGUCUGGUCGCCCUGGGAUCGGGGACAGAGAUUGGGAUUGGGAUUGUGGGUCUGAAUCCGAGUCCGGGUCUGUGGGUCUCCUGUUGGGCCCUACCACCCCUACUUUCAGCCUUUUCAACAAUUUUUCGCUUAUUUUGUGCUCUAAUGGGGCAUAAGUGUGAUUUAGCAAGUGUUUAAUGAGCUUUCCACUUUUUCCCCUAGUCGUUUGAAUUAUUUUAUACCCACGGCUUUCUAAUAAAACUUAUUUUAAGGUGUGACAAGAGAAGCGACAGAAAUAUUCAUGUACUCUUGUGGCAAAUUGGGGUUAUUUAUGGUACUGAGCGACAAUAAAGGAUAUGCAGUUAUGUUAUUACUAUAUAUACAUAAACAAAGUAUAUUGAGCCAACGCAAAUGCAAAUUUAUAUGCUCUGAGCCAUUCAAUAUGCAUGAAUUAUUUUUAUUAUUACAUAUUUUGAUUAAAUUUCCCCACUUGCUUUAAUUUCAAUUAAAGUUGGAACUAAAACACAUAAUGCCCAAAAAAACAUUCAAGUACUAUUGUAUGAAAAUUGCGCUUUCCAUCGUUUUUCGGUCAUCUCCUCGAGCAAACCUUUUGCGAACAAACUGAGCCACGACCCACUUGGUCGUAUUCGUAUCUACUUGGCCAAAAGUGAUGCAGCGUUUUCAGAGGGCCAAAAGCAGCCCGCAACCUAUCACAACAUUUGCUGGAGUAUGUAACUCGACUCGAACCCAGACGCGACUUGGAAUCGGGAAUUGGCCUGUUACCAGAACAGCCGUUGUAGGUCAGAGGAAAAAGUGCUUCUAAGAUAGUAGGCGUUCGUCAAAGGGAGCACAAAUAAUAAUAAUAAUAAAGUUAAUAAUUGUUAUUGAUUUUAUAUUUAACAUUUCAGACAAUAUAUAAUGGUGUGACGUCACAAUUAUUACAAGAUUAAUUUAAUUACAAGGCUUAAUUUACACGUUUAUUUAUAUAUUUAUUUAUACAAAAAUUAAGAGAACACAAUUUAAGAGUACAAAGAGAAAAUCACAUUUUAAAAACUUGCAGAGCUUUUAAGGCACAUUCGAAUUCGCACAAAAAUGUCCCACAUGGCUGGGAAAUUGUCCCAACAGAGGAAAAUACUGGUAAAUGUUACCAUGUGCAUAAUGUUAAGUCUGAUAUCUAAAGGAAUUUAUAAAUUGGCAUCUUAACAUUUGAUUGCAUUAAGAGCAAAUGUAUUAAUAUAAAU
Molecule: non-coding RNA, 3083 nt
Organism: Drosophila melanogaster (fruit fly)
Lineage: Eukaryota; Metazoa; Arthropoda; Insecta; Diptera; Drosophilidae
Source: Ensembl